RNAcentral lists this transfer RNA (88 nucleotides) under Candidatus Nomurabacteria bacterium. RNAcentral's name for it is "tRNA-Ser". It matches the Rfam family "tRNA". From Rfam's summary of the family: Transfer RNA (tRNA) molecules are approximately 80 nucleotides in length. Their secondary structure includes four short double-helical elements and three loops (D, anti-codon, and T loops). The record is from RNAcentral. Lineage: Bacteria; Candidatus Nomuraibacteriota.
GGAAGGUUGACCGAGUGGUUUAAGGAGCCGGUCUUGAAAACCGGUGGGCGUUCGCGCCCCGAGGGUUCGAAUCCCUCACCUUCCGCCA